GACGAACGCUGGCGGCGUGCUUAACACAUGCAAGUCGAACGGAAAAGCCUGCUUUCCCUUGUGGAUUGCGGGUACUCGAGUGGCUAACGGGUGAGUAACACGUGAGUGAUCUGCCCCCAACUUGGGUAUAAACCUGGGAAACUGGGUCUGAUUCCCGAUACGACUGCAUGGUGGUGUCUGUUGUGGGAAACGAUUUUCUUGGGUGUGGGGAUGAGCUCUCGGCCUAUCAGCUUGGUGGUGGGGUAAUGGCCUACCAACGCGGCGACGGGUAGCCGGCCUGGGAGGGUGGACGGGAAAGGUGGAACGGAGAUACGGCGAAGACUACUACGGGAGGAAGCAGUGGGGAAUAUGGCACGAGGGGUGGAAGACUGAUGCAGCGACGCUGAGUGGGGGAUGCCGGCUGUGGGGUUGUAAACUCCGUUCGGCCGCGAGGAAGCAGCAUGGUUGGAAGGGUGGUGACGGUAGUGGUAGAAGAAGCACCGGCUAACUACGUG
This 494-nucleotide ribosomal RNA is filed under the name uncultured bacterium. RNAcentral's name for it is "partial 16S ribosomal RNA". It matches the Rfam family "Bacterial small subunit ribosomal RNA", at positions 28 to 507 of the family's 1533-position model. The record is from RNAcentral.